This 515-nucleotide ribosomal RNA is filed under the name uncultured bacterium. RNAcentral's name for it is "partial 16S ribosomal RNA". It matches the Rfam family "Bacterial small subunit ribosomal RNA", at positions 28 to 523 of the family's 1533-position model. The record is from RNAcentral.
GAUGAACGCUGGCGGCGUGCCUAAUACAUGCAAGUCGAGCGAAUGGAUUAAGAGCUUGCUCUUAUGAAGUUAGCGGCGGACGGGUGAGUAACACGUGGGUAACCUGCCCAUAAGACUGGGAUAACUCCGGGAAACCGGGGCUAAUACCGGAUAACAUUUUGAACCGCAUGGUUCGAAAUUGAAAGUCGGCUUCGGCUGUCACUUAUGGAUGGACCCGCGUCGCAUUAGCUAGUUGGUGAGGUAACGGCUCACGAAGGCAACGAUGCGUAGCCGACGUGAGAGGGUGAUCGGCCACACUGGGACCUAGACACGGCCCAGACUCCUACGGGAGGCAGCAGUAGGGAAUCUUCCGCAAUGGACGAAAGUCUGACGGAGCAACGCCGCGUGAGUGAUGAAGGCUUUCGGGUCGUAAAACUCUGUUGUUAGGGAAGAACAAGUGCUAGUUGAAUAAGCUGGCACCUUGACGGUACCUAACCAGAAGGCCACGGCUAACUACGUGCCAGCCGCCGCAGUAA